CCCCACCUUUACCAGAUUUGCUUUUCAUGUGUCCAACCGUCUUUUAUCUAGGAUGGCCUCUGGGUCUUUUACCGUUGAUUUCACCAAUCAAAACUUGUUUACAUUAUCCCUCUAUGGAUGCCCUGCUCAUUCCAUGUGUUUGCUUUUGAUAAAUGCUUAAUUUUUGGUAUUUCCUCGUUCGUUCUUUUUCGGUAUUCUGCAUUAUCAGAUUUGAAACAAAACAAAUAAUAACAAUUAUCGACAGCUAGAAAGUUGGAACAAAAACACAGAUAUCGCCGUAACUUUUGAACGGGAAAAGCAUCGGGUAGCGGAUCCGGUGGGAGGGGGGCAUAGGGGCACGCAUCCCCCGUAUAAAAUGUCGACGGACUACAGUUUUUCGAUUUUCUAUUUUCUAUUAAUUCAAUUAUAACGAUUUAUAGUUAAUUUACUGAAAAUAUAUAAAUAAUAUAUGCCUCCAUUUAAAAACAAUGCGCGUUGGAUCCAUCGCUGGUUAUCCGUCGUCGGGUAGGCACUACGAUAUUAUCAUAAACGCUUUCCCAGCCGUGUACUUGCGUCGGCGAAACUCUUCCGAUAACACGUCCGUAUCGGUUUUUGAUUCCCGGUUCCUCGUCGGACAUUUAUCCCGCGAGCAUAAUAUUAUACAACGCAAUUUAUUUGUAAGGCUAAACUUCAAGAAUCGAAUAACGGUUUAUGGAAUAAUCGUCGGAACAGCAAAUCCCCCCGGCCGUUUCGUUUACCGUAUCGUGUAAGUAUAACAUUACUGGAGCGUUUGCCGCCGGUUCAAACUGUUAUUUUAUUUUUUAAAGAAAUAUUGUAAUGCGCACGACCCGCUAUAAAUUUAAGUGUUUUUUUUUUUUUUUUCACUUUCG
Cinara cedri is the source of this 869-nucleotide non-coding RNA. The record is from the annotation of a GenBank genome assembly. Lineage: Eukaryota; Metazoa; Arthropoda; Insecta; Hemiptera; Aphididae.